GCUAUGAACGAAAGUUCGACUAAGUUAUAUUAAACUAGGGUUGGUAAAAUUCGUGCCAGCCACCGCGGUCAUACGAUUAACCCAAAUUAAUAAACCCUCCGGCGUAAAGCGUGUCAAAGACCCAUACUAAAAUAAAGUUAAAACCCAGUUAAGCUGUAAAAAGCUACAACUAAAGUAAAAUAAACUACGAAAGUGACUUUAAUACCUCUGACCACACGAUAGCUAAGGCCCAAACUGGGAUUAGAUACCCCACUAUGCUUAGCCCUAAACCAAAAUAGCUCACCAUAACAAAGCU
Molecule: ribosomal RNA, 295 nt
Filed under: Equus asinus asinus
Lineage: Eukaryota; Metazoa; Chordata; Mammalia; Perissodactyla; Equidae
Description: partial 12S ribosomal RNA
Source: RNAcentral